UGGGGAAUAUUGCACAAUGGGCGCAAGCCUGAUGCAGCCAUGCCGCGUGUAUGAAGAAGGCCUUCGGGUUGUAAAGUACUUUCAGUCGGGAGGAAGGUGGUAAGGUUAAUAACCUUGGCAAUUGACGUUACCGACAGAAGAAGCACCGGCUAACUCCGUGACAGCAGCCGCGGUAAUACGGAGGGUGCAAGCGUUAAUCGGAAUUACUGGGCGUAAAGCGCACGCAGGCGGUUGAUUGAGUCAGAUGUGAAAUCCCCGGGCUUAACCCGGGAAUUGCAUCUGAUACUGGUCAGCUAGAGUCUUGUAGAGGGGGGUAGAAUUCCAUGUGUAGCGGUGAAAUGCGUAGAGAUGUGGAGGAAUACCGGUGGCGAAGGCAGCCCCCUGGACAAAGACUGACGCUCAGGUGCGAAAGCGUGGGGAGCAAACAGG
Molecule: ribosomal RNA, 429 nt
Filed under: Chloroflexota bacterium
Lineage: Bacteria; Bacillati; Chloroflexota
Description: Chloroflexi bacterium partial 16S ribosomal RNA
Rfam family: Bacterial small subunit ribosomal RNA
Source: RNAcentral